UACCCGCAGCUCAAGUGGUGGUCAUUAUUAUUGGGCCUAAAGCGUCCGUAGCUGGCCUGUUAGAUGCCUGGGUAAAUCGAUGCGCUCAACGUAUCGAACUCCGGGUAGACCGGCAGGCUCGAGACCGGGAGAGGGUGUAGGCUACUCGCGGGGUUAGGGGUAAAAUCCUGUAAUCCUGCGGGAGGACCAGUGGCGAAGGCGUACACUAGAACGGCUCUGACAGUGAGGGACCGAAGCCCUG
RNAcentral lists this ribosomal RNA (241 nucleotides) under uncultured bacterium. RNAcentral describes it as "partial 16S ribosomal RNA". It matches the Rfam family "Archaeal small subunit ribosomal RNA", at positions 474 to 715 of the family's 1478-position model. The record is from RNAcentral.